ACGAACGCUGGCGGCGCGCCUCACCCAUGCAAGUCGAACGAGCGAGAGAGAGCUUGCUUUCUCGAGCGAGUGGCGAACGGGUGAGUAACGCGUGAGGAACCUGCCUCAAAGAGGGGGACAACAGUUGGAAACGACUGCUAAUACCGCAUAAGCCCACGGCUCGGCAUCGAGCAGGGGGAAAAGGAGCAAUCCGCUUUGAGAUGGCCUCGCGUCCGAUUAGCUAGUUGGUGGGGUAACGGCCCACCAAGGCGACGAUCGGUAGCCGGACUGAGAGGUUGAACGGCCACAUUGGGACUGAGACACGGCCCAGUCUCCUACGGGAGGCAGCAGUGGGGAAUAUUGCACAAUGGGGGAAACCCUGAUGCAGCGACGCCGCGUGGAGGAAGAAGGUCUUCGGAUUGUAAACUCCUGUUGUUGGGGAAGAUAAUGACGGUACCCAACAAGGAAGUGACGGCUAACUACGUG
This 465-nucleotide ribosomal RNA is filed under the name uncultured bacterium. Its description in RNAcentral is "partial 16S ribosomal RNA". It matches the Rfam family "Bacterial small subunit ribosomal RNA", at positions 29 to 507 of the family's 1533-position model. The record is from RNAcentral.